This 2566-nucleotide long non-coding RNA is filed under the name Homo sapiens (human). RNAcentral's name for it is "long non-coding RNA NONHSAT196291.1". Lineage: Eukaryota; Metazoa; Chordata; Mammalia; Primates; Hominidae. The record is from RNAcentral.
GCUGACUACAGCAGACAGAGCACCCACAGAGGAGCCAGUGGUCACAGCUCCCCCUGCUGCCCAUGCCAAACACGGGAGCAGAGAUGGGAGCACCCAGACUGAGGGCCCCCCAGACAGCACCUCCACCUGCCUGCCACCGGAGCCUGACAGCCUUCUGGGGUGCAGCAGUAGCCAGAGAGCAGCCUCUCUGGGUAAGUCCUCCUGACCCCACUUCUGUGCUAGGUAGGGCCGAGGGGGCACUGGGGUGUGAACUGGAACACAAGGCCUUUUCUUCCCAGACCCCCUCCGGGUCAUUGCCCGCACUCCAUGGGGAGCCGUGCAUAGCCAGAGGUGAGCAGGGUGCCUGGCCCACCUCAAUGUGAACAUGAGGGAUGGCUGGUUGCAUGAAUAGGGAAAUUGGAAACCCUGAUUAGAGGCAGAUCCAGAAUUCAGAAAGAAAGCAACCAGAUGGGAGGCACUUUAGCUCCUCUUUCAUGGUCUUCCCUACAUAGUUAAUUUCCAAUUUGAUUAUCCAAGAGAAUGGAGCUCGCAAGUCAUGCCGAUGGCACUCUGGAAGCCUGUUUAAAGAGUCCGGGAAGGAGAAAUCUGAGAAGAUGCCAUUUCUUUUUCCACUCCCCUUUCACAUUGGCCUUUGCAUAUUUGCCUGUGCCUCAUGAUCUCAGAAAACCACAGGCAUGAAAAGAAUGCUGCAGCCUGCCUCCCUCAGGGCUCUCCAUUGCUCUCUCUAAGCCCUCCAACCAGUUCAAAGUUAGAAACAAAUGCAUCCUACACAUCGGAGGUUGGUGGGCUGGGCUGAGCACUGAAAGGGGGCAGAGCAUUGUGCUUGGUUGGCCGAGUUCUGGGAACCUGGGCAGCAGAGGUGGGAAAAGUUGGUGAAGAACGAUCUUUGUCUUUCAAAUGUGCCAGGAUUUUAAAAGCAAUCUAGUAACACUCAUUGGCAUGUGCCUGUGUUCUUGUCUGUCUCCAGACUCUGUAGCUACAUCCAGAGUCCAGGACUUGUCAGACAUGGUGGAGAUACUGAUCUGAAGGAGGUGGUGCUUCAGGACUCUGAGCCAUUCUCUCCCCUCCUCUGCCCUGUGCCACUCUCAGCCAUUUCAGCAGCCCCGUCAACCGCUGCUCCGUCCCUUUCCCCAGCCAGACACUCAUUCCCAUUGACCAUCUGGUCCCAGGAGCUCAGGAGGAGGACCCCAGGGGAGAGGAGAGCUGUGAGAGCACCGGCACCCCCAGAAGACUCUGCUUCUUAGCCCACAUUCCUCCGGGCCUUAUGGAGAAUGAGGAUUCAGCCUUGACUUCUUGCCCAAGGCCUGCUACUGGGGUAGCAACUGACAGCUCAGAAAGGAGCUGAGCUCCCUCUGCCCUGCCAGUUGUCAGUCAGGCAGGGAGGGAGUGGCUGUGUUGGUUUGGGGAACUAAUUUCCACGGACGGCUGCCCGUGGACACCAGGUGGACUGGUUCACUAAUCAAGUCAGCCAUAUUGUUCUCUGGCUAAGUUUGGUUCCAGCCAACGUCAUCUGCUCUUCAGUUCCUCACUGCCUUCUUGGGAUACUAAGACUUGAAUUUUUUGGGGACUAUUAAGGGUGUUAGUCUUGGAGAAGACACAGCCUCACCUUCUCACUUGCUGUGGGUGAGGGGCCAUUUAAGUGGACUGGGAGACAGUGCGCAGUUUGUAUAUAAUUCCCUUUCUUGUGGAACAGAAGACUGAGGCCUGCAGGUUCCGAUGUGUCUCCAUGGGCUGUGCUCCCCUCUUCCUACUGUCAGUUUCUGAAACUUCUGACUGGCCUCCCAGUUAUGCCUCCUCCUCAAGUUCCUGGCCCGUGGAUGUUAAAGCUGCUCGAUUCCCAGGAUCUCGGCUGCCUUUUCCUCUAUCUUGAGCCCUAUAAAUGCCCACGGGACCCCCACCACCAGCCUCUUGAAGUGGCUCCACAGCUCCUGUCCCUGGAACAUCCUGUCAGUUUGGUCAUAAACCCUGAGCCAGAUGAAAUGAGCCACCGUGAACAGACAUCUGCCAUGCCCCCAGGUGGGCUUCGGUGGCCCUACCCGGUACCAGUUCUUUCUGAGAAACUGGAGAUGUCUUGUUAGCAUAAGUGUCUUCAUUCCCACCUGGAGGGUUUGGGAGAGGAGCAAAGCAGUUGAAAACUAGUUAAUGAGCUACAAGAGUCAAAUAGUCCUCUGAAUGGAGCCCCCAUCACAAAACAGUGCCCAGGAGGCUGGCUCCUCAAGCUACCCAUGCCCAGCGCCCUAAAGCAGCACCAGAUGCUUUGGAAUUGGGGUGAAACACCCACAUGGCAGCCUGCUAGCAGCAGUGACUUUGACUUCUGGUCUUAAAGAGUCCCUCACUUCAGCCCCAGGAGCUAUUGGUGGGUUUUAGCAGUUUUGUCUUUACCGUUUUUAGUUCUCCUUGAUUCUUUGUUUUCUUCCUUUAUCGUUUUUAGGUUUGGUAUGUGUUGUUUUAUUUCCAUGGUUCCUCAAGUUUCCUUUUUAAACAUUUGCAUUUGCUGGACAAUUGCAAUUUUUUUUAAAAAAUUCCCCUACCCCUGUUUAAAGCUGAAAAAUACAUUUGGUUCAUG